Molecule: long non-coding RNA, 904 nt
Filed under: Marmota monax (woodchuck)
Lineage: Eukaryota; Metazoa; Chordata; Mammalia; Rodentia; Sciuridae
Source: RNAcentral
CUGACGAGAACAGAGGGGUAAAGCAUGAGCAGUAGAGUUCUGCUCCUGAGCAUGAUAUCAUUUUCACAGAUUUAACACAUGCACACGGAAAACAAUUAGAACAUCACAUAAAGUUGUGAAGUGAAAAUGUGAUUUCUCCCAUAACACUCUUCACUCAAAACUGUUUUGUUCCUUGGGUGUAAUUUCAAAAGAAAAUUAUACACUUACUCAAAUGUAUAUAAGUAAAUAGAUUGCUUCUUUUUUUUUUCCUCUGACAAAUCAGGUAAUCCUGUCGUGUACUGUUUUGUGCAGUGUGGACCUGGGUUCCCAUUCUGGUUGUUCCCGACCAGAUAUGUGGCCUUGGGCUAGUCAUUCAUCACUCUCUCUGGAAGAGUCCUUAUCUCUCUGAUCGUCAUGGCAAUGAAAUGAACCAGGACAUGUUAAGUCUGCAGCACAGCUCCCCAGGCACAGCAUGACAAAUGCCAGCCCUUCGUUGUCAUUAUUAAUAUGAGUAUAGCAGGAUUUCUAACCCAGGUCCCUGAAGAUUUUUUAAAUAGUAUUUAGUGACCUGAACAUUGACUCAGAUUCCGUGGCUCUCUAGAGGUUUUGUCGGGGCCAGAGGGUUCUCCUUUGUAAAGGGAAGGGGUCAGAGUGGAUGAUUGGCCACACAUUUGCCACCUGAAGAGUCUAUGGAUAACAUUUGUUGCCUUUCCAUGUGUGGAGAGAGGAGGCGAAGCAAGUCACCCAGGAGUGGCUGGAAACGCCCACGCUGGGUCCCCUGUUGAUGUGGGCUGCAGACCAUCUUGGAGCCUGGGCCCUGAGCUCCAGGAAUCUAGGGAGAUCACCCCUAGGCAGCGAGGCUGCGGCCUGGGGCAGGUGCAGCUCCCUGGAUAUGUUCUCUCGCCUUUUCUUCUCACUCACUCAC